Molecule: transfer RNA, 74 nt
Filed under: Pteropus alecto (black flying fox)
Lineage: Eukaryota; Metazoa; Chordata; Mammalia; Chiroptera; Pteropodidae
Rfam family: tRNA
About the family: Transfer RNA (tRNA) molecules are approximately 80 nucleotides in length. Their secondary structure includes four short double-helical elements and three loops (D, anti-codon, and T loops).
Source: Rfam by way of RNAcentral
GGCUCCAUAGUGUAGUGGUUAGCACAUCUGCUUUACACAUAGAAGGUCCCGGGUUCGCACUCCAGGUGGAGUCA